GCUAUUAGCGACGAAGUUAGCCGUUGUCGUCAUUGAAACCAUUGCUAAUAGUUUGCCCUAAAAUCUCUCCUCGGGUCUUCGAUCGCUCUGUUCUUCAUCCAUUGCCAUCCCUUAAACCGCCACCUUUAUCCUCGAUUUUUGCCCUCCGUGCUACCGAAGGCCACGUCGCCGCGCUUGAGACCCUGCGCCGCCAUCUCCUCCUCAGAUCCGACAUCCCCGCACUAGAUCGAUCGUCGCCUAUCCCGUGCUGGCCCUCUCCAUUCUUCCCCACCUCUCACCUCUUCCUCGGUGUAGCCGGACGCUCGCUGGAGCCCCAUCCUGAUGCCCUGACCUCCUUCCUUCUCAACCUCCCAUAUUCUUCCCCUGCUACCGUCUCUGCUCCGGAUCGAGCUUCUCCUCAUCGGAUCUGUCAUCCCAAGACUCCCUCCUUCCCUCGCACCGCUGCAGAACACCGUCAUCUGCAGUCCCCCGUCGCCUCCUCUUUUUUCCUGCACCGCCAUGUGACUUUUAGCGACAGCGAUGGCAAUGGAGCCGUUGCCACAUGUCGUUCCUUCUUCUUAAUUUUUUUAAUAUUUAAAUUUAUAUUUAUCAAAUUUAUUUAAAUUUAUAAUAUUUGAUGUAAUUUGCGCACGAGAAGUGCAUUCUCGAUCAC
RNAcentral lists this long non-coding RNA (652 nucleotides) under Elaeis guineensis (African oil palm). RNAcentral's name for it is "long non-coding RNA (EGUI_LNC017968)". Lineage: Eukaryota; Viridiplantae; Streptophyta; Magnoliopsida; Arecales; Arecaceae. The record is from RNAcentral.